Molecule: long non-coding RNA, 400 nt
Filed under: Nicotiana benthamiana
Lineage: Eukaryota; Viridiplantae; Streptophyta; Magnoliopsida; Solanales; Solanaceae
Description: long non-coding RNA (NBEN_LNC019969)
Source: RNAcentral
GGCAGAAGAGUUAGCAAAGGUACAGACAGCCCGAUCUAGCCAGUGAGCAAGCAUGUCCGCUUUCGAUUCAAUAUCUUUCUUAACACCCGGAAAAUUAUAUGCCUCUAUAGUAGCCUGCAAUGGAAUGCAGCUAUUUCUGACGGAUAGCUAUGUUAGCUAGGCCACCUGCCUGAUCAGGGUUUCCAUCCGAACUAGUGCCUUAAGCAGGAAGGCAAAUGAAAUUCUGUGGUAUGGUAUCGUAUAUAAGAGAAAGCUUGCUUUUAGGAGUGAUCUUUCGCCUUUAUUGAGGAGAUAUAAAACAAGCUUACUUACUAAUAAAGCGGCAAGAAGCACCUUCUUUCUCAAAGUCAACUUUCUCCCUUUUUACUAGUAGUUGAGUGCUCAUUGUUGUUCGGAUCUU